Molecule: ribosomal RNA, 252 nt
Filed under: uncultured bacterium
Lineage: Bacteria
Description: partial 16S ribosomal RNA
Rfam family: Bacterial small subunit ribosomal RNA
Source: RNAcentral
CACGUAGGGCGCGAGCGUUGUCCGGAAUUAUUGGGCGUAAAGAGCUCGUAGGCGGCCUGUUGCGUCCGCUGUGAAAGCCCGGGGCUUAACCCCGGGUCGGCAGUGGAUACGGGCAGGCUAGAGGUAGGUAGGGGAGAUUGGAAUUCCUGGUGUAGCGGUGGAAUGCGCAGAUAUCAGGAGGAACACCGAUGGCGAAGGCAGAUCUCUGGGCCGUAACUGACGCUGAGGAGCGAAAGCGUGGGGAGCGAACAG